GCCGGAGUGGCGGAAUUGGCAGACGCACAGGACUUAAAAUCCUGCGAACCUUACAGUUCGUACCGGUUCGACCCCGGUCUCCGGCACCA
RNAcentral lists this transfer RNA (89 nucleotides) under Candidatus Allocopromorpha excrementavium. RNAcentral's name for it is "tRNA-Leu". It matches the Rfam family "tRNA". Rfam says of the family: Transfer RNA (tRNA) molecules are approximately 80 nucleotides in length. Their secondary structure includes four short double-helical elements and three loops (D, anti-codon, and T loops). The record is from RNAcentral. Lineage: Bacteria; Bacillati; Bacillota; Clostridia; Eubacteriales; Eubacteriaceae. RNAcentral also lists the same sequence under 1 other name.